GACGAACGCUGGCGGCGUGCCUAAUACAUGCAAGUUGAGCGCUGAAGGUUGGUACUUGUACCAACUGGAUGAGCAGCGAACGGGUGAGUAACGCGUGGGGAAUCUGCCUUUGAGCGGGGGACAACAUUUGGAAACGAAUGCUAAUACCGCAUAAAAACUUUAAACACAAGUUUUAAGUUUGAAAGAUGCAAUUGCAUCACUCAAAGAUGAUCCCGCGUUGUAUUAGCUAGUUGGUGAGGUAAAGGCUCACCAAGGCGAUGAUACAUAGCCGACCUGAGAGGGUGAUCGGCCACAUUGGGACUGAGACACGGCCCAAACUCCUACGGGAGGCAGCAGUAGGGAAUCUUCGGCAAUGGACGAAAGUCUGACCGAGCAACGCCGCGUGAGUGAAGAAGGUUUUCGGAUCGUAAAACUCUGUUGGUAGAGAAGAACGUUGGUGAGAGUGGAAAGCUCAUCAAGUGACGGUAACUACCCAGAAAGGGACGGCUAACUACGUGCCAGCAGCCGCGGUAAUACGUAGGUCCCGAGCGUUGUCCGGAUUUAUUGGGCGUAAAGCGAGCGCAGGUGGUUUAUUAAGUCUGGUGUAAAAGGCAGUGGCUCAACCAUUGUAUGCAUUGGAAACUGGUAGACUUGAGUGCAGGAGAGGAGAGUGGAAUUCCAUGUGUAGCGGUGAAAUGCGUAGAUAUAUGGAGGAACACCGGUGGCGAAAGCGGCUCUCCGGCCUGUAACUGACACUGAGGCUCGAAAGCGUGGGGAGCAAACAAGAUUAGAUACCCUGGUAGUCCACGCCGUAAACGAUGAGUGCUAGAUGUAGGGAGCUAUAAGUUCUCUGUAUCGCAGCUAACGCAAUAAGCACUCCGCCUGGGGAGUACGACCGCAAGGUUGAAACUCAAAGGAAUUGACGGGGGCCCGCACAAGCGGUGGAGCAUGUGGUUUAAUUCGAAGCAACGCGAGGAACCUUACCAGGUCUUGACAUACUCGUGCUAUUCCUAGAGAUAGGAAGUUCCUUCGGGACACGGGAUACAGGUGGUGCAUGGUUGUCGUCAGCUCGUGUCGUGAGAUGUUGGGUUAAGUCCCGCAACGAGCGCAACCCCUAUUGUUAGUUGCCAUCAUUAAGUUGGGCACUCUAACGAGACUGCCGGUGAUAAACCGGAGGAAGGUGGGGAUGACGUCAAAUCAUCAUGCCCCUUAUGACCUGGGCUACACACGUGCUACAGUGGAUGGUACAACGAGUCGCGAGACAGUGAUGUUUAGCUAAUCUCUUAAAACCAUUCUCAGUUCGGAUUGUAGGCUGCAACUCGCCUACAUGAAGUCGGAAUCGCUAGUAAUCGCGGAUCAGCACGCCGCGGUGAAUACGUUCCCGGGCCU
RNAcentral lists this ribosomal RNA (1368 nucleotides) under uncultured bacterium. Its description in RNAcentral is "bacterial SSU rRNA". It matches the Rfam family "Bacterial small subunit ribosomal RNA", at positions 28 to 1381 of the family's 1533-position model. The record is from RNAcentral.